AUUGAACGCUGGCGGCAUGCCUUACACAUGCAAGUCGAACGGCAGCACGGGAGUAAUCCUGGUGGCGAGUGGCGAACGGGUGAGUAAAGCAUCGGAACGUGCCCAGUCGUGGGGGAUAACGUAGCGAAAGCUACGCUAAUACCGCAUACGAUCUGUGGAUGAAAGCGGGGGACCGUAAGGCCUCGCGCGAUUGGAGCGGCCGAUAUCAGAUUAGGUAGUUGGUGAGGUAAAGGCUCACCAAGCCGACGAUCUGUAGCUGGUCUGAGAGGACGACCAGCCACACUGGGACUGAGACACGGCCCAGACUCCUACGGGAGGCAGCAGUGGGGAAUUUUGGACAAUGGGCGCAAGCCUGAUCCAGCAAUGCCGCGUGCAGGAUGAAGGCCUUCGGGUUGUAAACUGCUUUUGUACGGAGCGAAAAGGCUUCCACUAAUACUGGGGGCUCAUGACGGUACCGUAAGAAUAAGCACCGGCUAACUACGUG
This 484-nucleotide ribosomal RNA is filed under the name uncultured bacterium. RNAcentral describes it as "partial 16S ribosomal RNA". It matches the Rfam family "Bacterial small subunit ribosomal RNA", at positions 30 to 507 of the family's 1533-position model. The record is from RNAcentral.